RNAcentral lists this ribosomal RNA (759 nucleotides) under uncultured archaeon. Its description in RNAcentral is "bacterial SSU rRNA". It matches the Rfam family "Archaeal small subunit ribosomal RNA", at positions 27 to 791 of the family's 1478-position model. The record is from RNAcentral.
CUGCUAUCGAGUUCCGACUAAGCCAAGCGAGUCACAGGCCGUAAGGUACUGGCAGACGGCUCAGUAACACGCGGAUAAUCCACCCUUAGGUGGGGUAUAGCCUUGGGAAACUGAGAUUAAUUCCCCAUAGAUCCCGAAAACUGGAAUGUUACGGGUUCAGAAAGUCACGACGCCUAAGGACGAGUCUGCGGCCUAUCAGGUAGUAGGUGGGGUAAAGGCCCACAUAGCCUAUGACGGGUACGGGCACUGAGAGGUGUAGCCCGGAGAUGGGUUCUGAGACAUUAGUCCAGGCCCUACGGGGCGCAGCAGGCGCGAAAACUGUGCAAUGCGCGAAAGCGCGACACGGGAAGCCUGAGUGCCUUAACACAGUUAAGGCUUUUCUCAAGCCUAAAAAGCUUGAGGAAUAAGAGCUGGGUAAGACGGGUGCCAGCCGCCGCGGUAACACCCGCAGCUCGAGUGGUGGUCACUUUUAUUAAGCCUAAAGCGUUCGUAGCCGGCUCUGUAAAUCUUCAGACAAAUUCUCCUGCUUAACGGGAGAUACUCUGGAGAGACUGCGAAACUAGGGACCGGGUGAGGUUGAAGGUACUUCUGGGGUAGGGGUAAAAUCCUGUAAUCCUGGAAGGACGACCAGUGGCGAAGGCGUUCAACUAGAACGGAUCCGACGGUGAGGAACGAGGGCUAGGGGAGCAAACCGGAUUAGAUACCCGGGUAGUCCUAGCUGUAAACACUGCCCACUUGGUGUUGCUUCUUCUAUAGGGG